GCUGACUGAGGCGUUUCAGUCCUCCAGAGGACAUCCAGGUAAAGCCAGAUUUGGGAUAUGCACAACGGCUAGCUGCUCUGUAAACAGCAGUGGAUCUCUGCCGCUCCGACCUGGGCCUCAGGCGGCUCCUGUUCUUACCCAGCUUGUCAGCCCAACUCUUGUUUAAAGGUCUCCACAACGUUCUCCCAGACCUGUCUGCUAUGUUGGAGGACUUCAUGAUACUUCAUGAGGACUUCAUGAUUGUUCAGCCGACUGUGCUUCCUGGUCUUCUUGAUGAUGUUUGAUUUCUAAAAAUCUCGGUCUUCACAGAAUAACAUGAAAUGCACCAAGAUGAAACUGCACAAUGGUGGACUCAACUGGACAACUGGGUAGAGACAUACCGAAGGACUUUGUGUUAGUCUGACAUACAUUUGCAAAUAAAAGACACUGAAGAUUUGAAAGGAGACAUUUGCAGGGCGUUGUACACACCAUAGAAAUACAAUUACAAAUGAUCUACCAGAAGAAAAUAUCUCCUGGGCCUGUUGCAGAAACCAGAAUGCAAAACACCUUCACUGCCUUUCUACAACUUAAGAGGAUGAGAGGCAGGCGUGUGUUAGUCAAACAUAUAGAUUUAAUGGUUUUCAUCAGACGUGAGAUUUGCUGCUCUGGAACAGUAGAUUUUGAGGUUCAUUUUCAGAAAGUUUCUCCAGAAAUCUCCCCUCCAUCUAAACAGGGUAGAUGUCUUUCUAAAGCAAGCUGGAGAUGAGUGGUAGGAGCAGGUGGUAGAAGUUCUAGUACAGAAUGUAACAACUGUCUCUUUCUGCCAUCAGGCUGUACCGCUCCCAGAAACACAAGGCCUCAGCUGGCAUGUUAAGUGUUGAAGUUCCUCAUAAUACAAAACAAUAAAGGCCGACUAAAUACAUGAGGCGUGUUUAAAAGUCUUUUUAACAAAAACGCACAAACAAUCUAUUGUAAUGUAAUGAAUUUGCUAAUGUUGAACCCAAAUGUGAGCCAGACACGGAGCUGUAUUUUAAAAAGGGGUUUAUUAACAAAAUCCAGGUGGCAAAAAGGCUGACUCAAAAAACUGAAAGGCAACGAACAGAACAGGCACGGACUGGCAGACGGGCAGGUAAUACACAAAAAUAAUCAAAGGCUGGAAAGAGCUUACCGCAGGCUGACGAGAGGGAUAAACACAAGACGUUCCGGCAACACACAAACAACUAAGGCAGGUUUAAAUAGGAGGAUGGAACAGGUGAGCAGGGCGGGACCAAUUAACCAAAACAAGUGAAAGCAAUAGAAGGAACAUACAGACUAAUAAAGAAAAACCCUAAGAAAGUAAGACCAAGACUAAUGGAGACGAGCUGACAUAAAUAAUAACCAAGACCAGAUGACUAAAAACAGACUAAGCACAAAUCAAAAACAACACAACACAGAAAUAAAUCCUAAAACAGAAAAGUUGACUAACUGAAAAUAACUUAAACCACAACAGAACGUUACAGAGCCCCUCCCUCAAGGGCGAAUUCCAGACGCCCCUAAAUGUAUUAGAGAAAUGUAAAGAAAAGACAAAAAAGUCCGACCGGGCGGGUGGAGGGCGCUACAGGCCGGAGGGCAAGAAACUAAAAACAAAAGCCCAAAACAAGAGUCCAGAACAGAAAACAACCCUCAGAAGGGCGAACACCAAACUAACUAAAAAGCUUCAAAAACAGUCUCCUGAACAGCACAACAGUCUGGUGGACGUCCCAGAGGACGUCCCCAGCGUGACAGGUUCUCCGGCGGAUGUCCCCGGCGAGACAGGUUCUCCG
This is a long non-coding RNA of Fundulus heteroclitus (mummichog), 1781 nucleotides long. RefSeq lists it as uncharacterized. The record is from RefSeq and is a predicted model, not a curated record. Lineage: Eukaryota; Metazoa; Chordata; Actinopteri; Cyprinodontiformes; Fundulidae. The transcript is spliced from 3 exons.